CUGAGUUGCUCAUCUUUACCUUUGCCAAGCCAGCCUGGUUGGUGGGCCUCCCUUCUGCUAUCAUGUCACCACUGCACGGACCAGGGCUGGACGGAACGAUGCUGAUGAGCAUCCCGAAUACAUCAUUGACGAGGACGGCCUGUGCAAAGGGAUGCAUCUUGCCAAGUCCCCUCAAAGUGGGUCAUCACUUUGCCACUCGGUUGGACCACUAAUUUUGCCUUAUAAUGAACCAUAACAGUGAAAUGCAUCCAAAAGAAUGAAUAACCAGCUGCUGACUGAACAUUUAAAGUGACAUACAAUUAUUUUCUUCUGAGAAACUACUGGCAGUUCACAUAAUGGAUUUUCAAAGCCUUAUGUGGCCUAAGAUUACACUGAAUAGCUGACCAAUUCUGAACCUUCAUGCCUGGUGAACUAGCUGCUACUUUGUUUGAAAGUCAAAUGCAACAUGUCCUGAACAACCAACCUAAUUUAGUACCAAGUCUUCUAAGCUGAGACCUUGGAAGUGGACGCAGCCUGAAAUCCAAAUCCCAGAAGCGGAUGUGAAACAAUGACAGCAUUCAAUUUUUCUUAGUUUCAUUGAGAGACCUAAGAGUGGCACUGUGACUUGGGUAGCUAACCCAAACACAGGGUUGCCAAGCUGCUCAUCCAGCUGUGGUAAGAGCUGGUAUUCUAUUAAGUGCAUCACUAACCCAUCCAUAUGGGUAACACCCUGGCCAGAGUGGAAUGUCAAUCCCAGAUACAUCAUCUCCAAAAAGGUGUCAGUGCAGAGGAUGGUUCAUUGUUGAAAAGCUGAUCCAAUGAUCCUGAAUCACCACUCACUGGAGGCUGGCAUUACAAUAUUGAAAAUUGCAGAAAACAAGUGUUUUUUGUUGUUGUUUUUUUAAAGGGCUUCCAUACUGGAGAGAACUUUCAAACAGAUCAAAUCUAACUGUAAACCUUCCCCUUUUCAUUAUCUUUUUACUCAGCCACGUGAGUAUGAUUCAAGAAGGCUUUAGCUCAGGUUUUCUCUCCCACAGGCUGCCUUUUGUUCUUCUUGUUUGACCCUGAAAGCGACAUCAUGCUGCUGAAUUUUUCACAUCACAAUCAUUUCCCAGAUGUGAAGAUUAUUAAUUCCGUGCAGGAUUUCAGGUGAGAUGGGCUGUGAAAAUGCUACAUUGCCAGAGGGUGGACAGAUACUAGAGCAGACAACCAACCAGUAGAGUCCCCUAUCUAAUCUGGAGGCCCAGUCGCAUGCACAAAUACAAGGUAAAAAAUUAUGCACAUGACAGGGAAUGCAGAAGACCCUAAUCCUGCAUUAAUAAGAGCACUGUGGUGUGUUUGCCAGGUUUCCCCUGCCUUGUAGUAAGAUCCUAAGAUGGGAGUGUAUAACUCAGUAUAUCACUUGUACUUAAGAGACUUGCAUUUAAGCCCAUAGCUCCUCCACACCCUGCAUGUUAUAUAUUCUGCAUUCUUGAGACUAAGGGAGUGGGCUUGGGAUUUAAUUCCAGUGAGUAUGAACGACUAUGCACAUCAGAUCACCCUACUUGUGCUCAUGCAUAGCCUCCACUUACACUUGUGCUGCAGCCCAACAACUCUGCACAACCUGUAAGGACUUGGAGGACCGAGGCCUUUGUGUUACCACAGCUAAGACUCAGACUUGGACUCUGGUGUGGGUCUGUAUGGAGCAGCUAUAUGAAAUAAUCCAGAAUAAUUCAUUUUACCCUUGCCUGUGCUGGUAGAAGCUGGAAUGAGAUAGUCUCCUCUGGAAGUCACCCCACACUGGCCUUGCAUUCUGCUGGGAGUCACAUAUCUCUAGCUGAACAGGAAGGAGCUGUGUUAAACGGGUCUUUAUUGGAGAUCACCUUCCUGGUUGAGCUAUUAGGUGCUGUGCUGAACUCUAUCAGCUUGCUGGUAAGAAUUCUAUAUAGCUUGUCUCAGCUGGGAGUCGCCCUCUGCAGAUCUUAUACAGUAAUGGAGAAACUCCUUAUUAAAAAGUAAUUAUUUUCAGUAAUACCAAAGGAAAAACCUCUGGCCUGGCAAAAUUUCUAGAGUGGUUUUUCAACCCUGAGAUAGGGCUAAAAUCUAUAACUCUAAACUUGCAGAUUCAUCUGCUAUUGCCUUGUAAAAGUCCCAAGGAACAGCGAAGAACAGUAACACCAAGCUUUCAUAUAGCCUUUUUUCAACAGUAGAUCACAAAGUGCUUUAUGAAGUAAGGUCAUUAUCAUUAUCCCCAUUUUACAAAUGGGGAAACUGAGGCUCAGGGAGGGAAACUGACUUG
Gopherus evgoodei (Goodes thornscrub tortoise) is the source of this 2257-nucleotide long non-coding RNA. RefSeq lists it as uncharacterized. The record is from RefSeq and is a predicted model, not a curated record. Lineage: Eukaryota; Metazoa; Chordata; Testudines; Testudinidae. The transcript is spliced from 3 exons.